This 253-nucleotide ribosomal RNA is filed under the name uncultured bacterium. Its description in RNAcentral is "partial 16S ribosomal RNA". It matches the Rfam family "Bacterial small subunit ribosomal RNA", at positions 524 to 776 of the family's 1533-position model. The record is from RNAcentral.
UACGGGGGAGGCAAGCGUUAUUCGGAAUCACUGGGCGUAAAGCGUCUGCAGGUGGACUCCUAAGUCCACUGUUAAACCUUGAGGCUCAACCUCAAAACGGCAGUGGAAACUAGGAAACUUGAGUAGAGUAGGGGUAGAGGGAAUUUCCAGUGGAGCGGUGAAAUGCGUAGAUAUUGGAAAGAACACCGAUGGCGAAGGCACCCUACUGGGCUCUUACUGACACUCAGAGACGAAAGCUAGGGGAGCAAAUGGG